GUGGGGAAUAUUGGACAAUGGGCGAAAGCCUGAUCCAGCCAUGCCGCGUGUGUGAAGAAGGUCUUCGGAUUGUAAAGCACUUUAAGUUGGGAGGAAGGGCAGUAAGUUAAUACCUUGCUGUUUUGACGUUACCGACAGAAUAAGCACCGGCUAACUUCGUGCCAGCAGCCGCGGUAAUACGAAGGGUGCAAGCGUUAAUCGGAAUUACUGGGCGUAAAGCGCGCGUAGGUGGUUUUGUAAGUUGGAGGUGAAAUCCCCGGGCUCAACCUGGGAACUGCCUCCAAAACUACUGAGCUAGAGUACGGUAGAGGGUAGUGGAAUUUCCUGUGUAGCGGUGAAAUGCGUAGAUAUAGGAAGGAACACCAGUGGCGAAGGCGACUACCUGGACUGAUACUGACACUGAGGUGCGAAAGCGUGGGGAGCAAACAGGAUUAGAAACCCUGGUAGUCC
Molecule: ribosomal RNA, 450 nt
Filed under: uncultured bacterium
Lineage: Bacteria
Description: bacterial SSU rRNA
Rfam family: Bacterial small subunit ribosomal RNA
Source: RNAcentral